ACGGGAUUACAUAUAAAAUCUAGAGAGAAGCAUUCUCAGGAACUUCUUUGUGAUGUUUGCAUUCAAGUCACAGAAUUGAACAUUCCCUUUCAUAGAGCAGGUUUGAAACACUCUUUUUGUAGUAUCUGGAAGUGGACAUUAGAAGCGCUUUGGCCCUGUGGUGAAAAGGAAAUAUCUUCCCAUAAAAACUAGACAGAAGCAUUCUCAGAAACUUGUUUGUCAUGUAUGUACUCAACUAACAGAGUUGAACCUUUCUUUUGAUAGAGCAGUUUUGAAUCACUCUUUUUGUGGAAUCUUCAAGU
RNAcentral lists this long non-coding RNA (302 nucleotides) under Homo sapiens (human). Its description in RNAcentral is "HSALNT0352188". The record is from RNAcentral. Lineage: Eukaryota; Metazoa; Chordata; Mammalia; Primates; Hominidae.